Molecule: ribosomal RNA, 560 nt
Filed under: uncultured bacterium
Lineage: Bacteria
Description: bacterial SSU rRNA
Rfam family: Bacterial small subunit ribosomal RNA
Source: RNAcentral
GAGUUUGAUCAUGGCUCAGAUUGAACGCUGGCGGCAUGCCUAACACAUGCAAGUCGAGCGGCAGCGCGGGGGCAACCUUGGCGGCGAGCGGCGGACGGGUGAGUAAGGCAUCGGAAUCUGCCCUGAUGUGGGGGAUAACGUAGGGAAACUUACGCUAAUACCGCAUACGACCGAGAGGUGAAAGCGGGGGACCGAAAGGCCUCGCGCAGCAGGAUGAGCCGAUGUCCGAUUAGCUGGUUGGUGGGGUAAUGGCCUACCAAGGCGACGAUCGGUAGCUGGUCUGAGAGGAUGAUCAGCCACACUGGGACUGAGACACGGCCCAGACUCCUACGGGAGGCAGCAGUGGGGAAUAUUGGAUAAUGGGGGCAACCCUGAUCCAGCAAUGCCGCGUGUGUGAAGAAGGCCUUCGGGUUGUAAAGCACUUUUAUCGGGAGCGAAACGCGCCGGGUUAAUACCUUGGCGAACUGACGGUACCCGAGGAAUAAGCACCGGCUAACUCCGUGCCAGCAGCCGCGGUAAUACGGAGGGCGCAAGCGUUAAUCGGAAUUACUGGGCGUAAA